AUUGAACGCUGGCGGCAGGCUUAACACAUGCAAGUCGAGCGGGGUGAUGGUGCUUGCACUAUCACUUAGCGGCGGACGGGUGAGUAAUGCUUAGGAAUCUGCCCAUUAGUGGGGGACAACAUCUCGAAAGGGAUGCUAAUACCGCAUACGUCCUCCGGGAGAAAGCAGGGGAUCACUUGUGACCGUGCACUAAUAAAUGAGCCUAAGUCAGAUUCGAUAGUUGGUGGGGUAAAGGCCUACCAGAGCGACGAUCUGUAGCGGGUCUGAGAGGAUGAUCCGCCACACUGGGACUGAGACACGGCCCAGACUCCUACGGGAGCCAGCAGGGGGGAAUAUUGGACAAUGGGGGGAACCCUGAUCCAGCCAUGCCGCGUGUGUGAAGAAGGCCUUAUGGUUGUAAAGCACUUUAAGCGAGGAGGAGGCUCUUUUGGUUAAUACCCAAGAUGAGUGUACGUUACUCGCAGAAUAAGCACCGGCUAACUCUGUUCCAGCAGCCGCGGUAA
Molecule: ribosomal RNA, 503 nt
Filed under: uncultured bacterium
Lineage: Bacteria
Description: partial 16S ribosomal RNA
Rfam family: Bacterial small subunit ribosomal RNA
Source: RNAcentral